RNAcentral lists this ribosomal RNA (499 nucleotides) under uncultured bacterium. Its description in RNAcentral is "partial 16S ribosomal RNA". It matches the Rfam family "Bacterial small subunit ribosomal RNA", at positions 28 to 507 of the family's 1533-position model. The record is from RNAcentral.
GAUGAACGCUGGCGGCGUGCCUAAUACAUGCAAGUCGAGCGAACAGACGAGAGUGCUUGCACUCUCUGACGUUAGCGGCGGACGGGUGAGUAACACGUGGGUAACCUACCUAUAAGACUGGGAUAACUUCGGGAAACCGGAGCUAAUACCGGAUAAUAUUUAUCUUCGCAUGAAGCAAUAGUGAAAGACGGUUCUGCUGUCACUUAUAGAUGGACCCGCGGUGUAUUAGCUAGUUGGUGAGGUAACGGCUCACCAAGGCAACGAUACAUAGCCGACCUGAGAGGGUGAUCGGCCACACUGGGACUGAGACACGGCCCAGACUCCUACGGGAGGCAGCAGUAGGGAAUCUUCCGCAAUGGACGAAAGUCUGACGGAGCAAUGCCGCGUGAGUGAAGAAGGUUUUCGGAUCGUAAAACUCUGUUGUAAGGGAAGAACAAGUACGUUAGUAACUGAACGUACCUUGACGGUACCUUACCAGAAAGCCACGGCUAACUACGUG